GUUCGUCGUCGCCUGCAAUUCUUGCAUUUUUUUUUUGCUGAUUUUCCUUUUCUUCUUUCUGUGAUUUCUUAGCUUUUCAGUUGGAACCUAAAGAGACUAAUUUGUGAAGACGUGAUGUCUCCAGCUCUGCUGGGUGUUGAGGAGGAAGGGCAGAGCAAUGUCUCUUUAGCGGCCUCUUCGACAUCCAUUGAUUGUAUCUCCCGGAAUGGCUGUGGAUUGAAAGAACGUAACUAUCUGGGUUUGUCAGAUUGUUCUUCAGUUGACAGCUCUGCAGUCCCAAGCUUAUCAGAGGAGAAUAAGAACAAUCUCAAUUUGAAGGCCACUGAAUUAAGGCUUGGUCUUCCUGGAUCUCAAUCUCCUGAAAUAGAAGCAGAUGUUUCGUUGCUAAGUACAGGGAAACUUGAUGAGAAGCCACUGUUUCCAAUGCUUCCUUUGAAGGAUGGAAUCUGCUCAUCAUUACAGAAGCAUGUUAUUUCAGGCAACAAAAGAGGAUUUUCUGACACAAUGGAUGGAUUCUCAGAGGUUAAGGGUUCUCUGUAUUCAGAAAAGAACUGGCUGUUUCACUCUGCUGUGACGGAGUCUGAUUCUCUGCAAUCCGUGGGGCAAGGGACAUUUCCUGGUAGUUCUGGGAUGAAUGCAAUGCAAUUGUCUAGGCCUUCUGGGGCUCAAUCACACAUGAUGAAAGAGGUGCCACAGAAAGUAUUACAGGACCGAUGUCAUGGUGCCAAUGGAACCAACCUGAACCAGGCUGGUACUUCAAACAACAGCAGCAGUGCCCCUGCUGCCAAGGCACAGGUUGUUGGUUGGCCUCCAAUUAAGUCAUUUAGGAAGAACACAUUAGCCUCCUCUUCAAAGAAUAAUGAUGAAGUCGAUGGAAAACCCAGUUCUGGUGCUCUUUUCGUCAAGGUCAGCAUGGAUGGUGCUCCUUAUUUGAGGAAGGUAGAUCUAAGAACUUACUCCACUUAUCAAGAACUCUCUUGUGCUCUUGAGAAGAUGUUCAGCUGUUUUACUAUAGGUCAAUGUGGGUCUCAUGGAGUUCCAGGGAAGGAAAAGCUGAGUGAGAGCAAGUUGAGGGAUCUUUUGAAUGGAUCGGAAUAUGUGCUUACAUAUGAGGAUAAGGACAGGGACUGGAUGCUUGUAGGGGAUGUACCAUGGGAGAUGUUUAUUGAUACAUGCAAGAGACUAAAGAUCAUGAAGAGCUCUGAUGCGAUUGGGUUAGCUCCCAGAGUGAUGGAGAAAUUCAAGAUCAAGGCCUAGCGAGGCUCUCUGGUUAUGCUUGAAGAGGAAUGCAUUUAAAGUUUAUCUAUACAGUAGUCAAGUGUUGUGUAUUUGAUGACUGAUGAAUCAAAGAUUACUUAAAUAUCGUGCUUUCAACUGCUGUUUUUGUUGGAUUGUAUUGUGAUGAUAUUAGUUUCAAUUCAUCGAAAGCUAAG
RNAcentral lists this unclassified non-coding RNA (1433 nucleotides) under Hevea brasiliensis (rubber tree). The record is from RNAcentral. Lineage: Eukaryota; Viridiplantae; Streptophyta; Magnoliopsida; Malpighiales; Euphorbiaceae.